Erythranthe guttata (spotted monkey flower) is the source of this 1113-nucleotide non-coding RNA. The record is from RefSeq and is a predicted model, not a curated record. Lineage: Eukaryota; Viridiplantae; Streptophyta; Magnoliopsida; Lamiales; Phrymaceae.
CUGACUAAGGAAUAAGGAUGUAAUCAAUUUUUCAAGUAUUGUGGAUAACACACAUACUAAAAAAAAUCAAGAAACUGCGUUUUUAAUAGUGAGAAGAUAAGAUUGAAUGACAAGUUUUUAAUAAUUAGGGGCCUUGUUUUGGCAUUUAUUUCAUUAUUAGUAGAGGUGUAGGAUGAACCAAACCGACAACGAGGAGUCAAAGACUCGAGAGACUUGAAAAUUAAACAGAGACUUGAAAAUAGAUUCCCUUGAACAGACAAUAAUCGUCAAGAAUUUAGCUCUAUUUAGAAAUAAAAAAAAGGUUCUUUCCCUAGCUUUUAGCUUUUCCGGAAACAGUUGUGCUUCGUUUUAGAAGCAGAAAAGAGAAUUUCUCCGACACACUAUCAUCUAAUCUCAAACAAAUGGUGGAAAAUGUGAAGAUCUAACAAUUGAUUUAAAGUGGACUCAUGAGUAAAGUGUGCCAAGAUUAGACGCAUCAGUUACUACAAGCUAAGGUGAAUGUAAAACUAAUAUUUAUUUAUUAUGCAAAGAAGAUGAAGAACAAGUUGGGGAUGAUGAAGAAGUGGACUGGUGGUGUGUUGAUAACAACCCUUGCUCUAAUUUUUAUCAUCACCUACUUCUUUAUCAGCAAAUCUGAAUACCUUCCAAUUCCAAUAAACACUCUGCUUAUGACUUUUUCAAUCCACAUUCCGUCAAAGAGGAAGAUUCAGCUUCAGGUUCAGAUCCAGAUCCCAACUCUAACGCUACUGACGGCGACUUGCCCCAAGCAGAAGAAGUGCGGCAUACAGCUGCUGCAUUACCAAAACCCCACUUCACUACUCUUCAUGGGCUUAACGAUUUGUACAUUUUGAGCAAGAAUCUGACUAGACAAGACUCUUCUAAUGCUGCAUUGCUCACAUGGUCUCAAAUUAAAUUUCUGUUUCCCAGAUCCGACGUAUUGCCUGAAACUGCCCGAGGGAUUAAAGAGGUUUUCAUUGUGUUUAAACAUUUGCUUCGAAUGAUUGCAAAGGACAAUGCUUUUAAACUUGGCCAUGAUCCUUUGACGGAGAUUGUUUGGCCAUGAUCCUUUGACGGCGUCUUCUAAUACUACAUUAUUAUCGUCUUUUCUUGAGA